GACGGGGGCUGCAAGCGAUAUCCGGAAUCACUGGGCGUAAAGCGUCUGUAGGUGGUGAUGCAAGUCACUGGUGCAAAACUCUGGCUCAACCGGAGGAAAGCCAGUGAAACUGCAUGACUAGAGUGUGGGAGAGGUAGAAGGAAUUCCCUGAGUAGCGGUGACAUGCGUAGAUACAGGGAAGAACACCGGAGGCGAAAGCGUUCUACUGGAACACAACUGACACUGAGAGACGAAAGCUAGGGGGGCGAAUGGG
This 253-nucleotide ribosomal RNA is filed under the name uncultured bacterium. RNAcentral's name for it is "partial 16S ribosomal RNA". It matches the Rfam family "Bacterial small subunit ribosomal RNA", at positions 524 to 776 of the family's 1533-position model. The record is from RNAcentral.